GACGAACACUGGCGGCGUGCCUAAUACAUGCAAGUCGAACGCUUUUUCUUUCACCGGAGCUUGCUCCACCGAAAGAAAAAGAGAGGCGAACGGGUGAGUAACACGUGGGUAACCUGCCCAUCAGAAGGGGAUAACACUUGGAAACAGGUGCUAAUACCGUAUAACACUAUUUUCCGCAUGGAAGAAAGUGGAAAGGCGCUUUUGCGUCACUGAUGGAGGGACCCGCGGUGCAUUAGCUAGUUGGUGAGGUAACGGCUCACCAAGGCAACGAUGCAUAGCCGACCUGAGAGGGUGAUCGGCCACACUGGGACUGAGACACGGCCCAGACUCCUACGGGAGGCAGCAGUAGGGAAUCUUCGGCAAUGGACGAAAGUCUGACCGAGCAACGCCGCGUGAGUGAAGAAGGUUUUCGGAUCGUAAAACUCUGUUGUUAGAGAAGAACAAGGAUGAGAGUAAAACGUUCAUCCCUUGACGGUAUCUAACCAGAAAGCCACGGCUAACUACGUGCCAGCCGCCGCUGUAA
This 523-nucleotide ribosomal RNA is filed under the name uncultured bacterium. Its description in RNAcentral is "partial 16S ribosomal RNA". It matches the Rfam family "Bacterial small subunit ribosomal RNA", at positions 28 to 523 of the family's 1533-position model. The record is from RNAcentral.